RNAcentral lists this ribosomal RNA (406 nucleotides) under uncultured bacterium. Its description in RNAcentral is "partial 16S ribosomal RNA". It matches the Rfam family "Bacterial small subunit ribosomal RNA", at positions 30 to 526 of the family's 1533-position model. The record is from RNAcentral.
AUUGAACGCUGGCGGCAGGCCUAACACAUGCAAGUCGAGCGAGCGGCGGACGGGUGAGUAAUGUCUGGGAAACUGCCUGAUGGAGGGGGAUAACUACUGGAAACGGUGGCUAAUACCGCAUACCAUCGGAUGUGCCCAGAUGGGAUUAGCUAGUAGGUGGGGUAAAGGCUCACCUAGGCGACGAUCUCUAGCUGGUCUGAGAGGAUGAUCAGCCACACUGGAACUGAGACACGGCCCAGACUCCUACGGGAGGCAGCAGUGGGGAAUAUUGCACAAUGGGCGCAAGCCUGAUGCAGCCAUGCCGCGUGUAUGAAGAAGGCAUUCGGGUUGUAAAGUACUUUCAGCGGGGAGGCGUUACCCGCAGAAGAAGCACCGGCUAACUCCGUGCCAGCAGCCGCGGUAAUAC